Molecule: unclassified non-coding RNA, 329 nt
Filed under: plant metagenome
Description: partial contains 5.8S ribosomal RNA, internal transcribed spacer 2, and large subunit ribosomal RNA
Rfam family: 5.8S ribosomal RNA (bases 1-105)
Source: RNAcentral
GAAAUGCGAUAAAUAAUGUGAAUUGCAGAAUUCCGUGAAUCAUUGAAUCUUUGAACGCACAUUGCGCCCUCUGGUAUUCCGGGGGGCAUGCCUGUCCGAGCGUCAUUGCGAACCCCUCAAGCACGGCUUGUGUGAUGGGCCCUCCCGCGUCUUGGUCGUCAAGACGGGCCCGAAAUGCAGUGGCGGCUUCGCGGUUAUCCGAUCAGCCAGAGCGUAUGGGGACUUUCUCUCUGUCACACGCCCGCGGCGCGGACCGACGCCUGUCGACCUUCAUUCAUCGUUUUCUCGGUUGACCUCGGAUCAGGUAGGGAUACCCGCUGAACUUAAGC